CUCCAACAACAUAGGUUACAAUUAGAGUAGCAUGACCAAUUAUGCAAAUUAGGUGAUGAUGUCAUUUAGCGACUUCUAGCGACUUUUAGGACAACCAAUAGCGAUUUUCCUUACUGAGGAGUUGGCAACAUUGCGUCGUGGUCUGAAUAAGUUUGAACUAGACCAAACGAGUCUGAGCAGACUGUGUGAUAGUGGUUUGUCGAUGUGUUCUGAACUGAAAACCUGCUAAGAAACUUUGAACAAACGUGGCCAAAAUUGGAUGAAAAUUACAAUUUUUCGACCAUUACAGAUUUUACCUGGUCUGAAGUUGGAGUGUAUUAUUUGACCAUUUUUUGGACAGGUGCGGGAGCUGCCGGCCAUUUGCCCUAGCAGGCGGAGAGAGGUCGUGGAGUGUCAGCCUAUGGUAUCUGAGGUCCAGGAGAGAUGACCUGCGCUGUUUUCCUCUGAGGAGGUAUUGUUUAGAUAUCUGAACAUUUCAUCGGAUCACAAGCAAAGACCUCCUGGGGACCUUCAAUGCAUCCCUUGACAAAGUUGUGCCUGGCCUGCUGAAACUGUACUGGUCUAAGAAGGGAGCUCUUGGUGAGGAGAUGGAAGACCUCCUGGAUAAACUUGAUGAACAGACAUCCAACACUGUGUCCAACGGGCACUGAGAGGCCUGCCCAUUUUCCUCAAGACAAGAUGCAACAGAGGUUUUCCUGAAGUGCUUA
Molecule: long non-coding RNA, 707 nt
Organism: Oreochromis aureus
Lineage: Eukaryota; Metazoa; Chordata; Actinopteri; Cichliformes; Cichlidae
Source: Ensembl